Long non-coding RNA from Plodia interpunctella (Indianmeal moth), 848 nucleotides. RefSeq lists it as uncharacterized. The transcript has 2 exons. The record is from RefSeq and is a predicted model, not a curated record. NCBI's taxonomy places the organism in Eukaryota, Metazoa, Arthropoda, Insecta, Lepidoptera, Pyralidae.
UGCAGUUUGUGAUGUCACGGCGCGGGAAAACUCUUCUCAAUGUGGAUGGAUACACUUUCUGUGCGCAAAUAAGAAAUGGGCUUAAAACUAGAUGGACUUGCUCCACACACAACAACAAGCAAUGUCGGGCAUCUGUCUCUACUUGGAAUAAUCAAAUUAUUAGAAUAAAUAACACUCAUCGACAUUAGAUCUUCAAUAAAGUUUUGAUUCUAGCUUCAACGCAACGAACUUAAAACUUUUGAAAACCCAAAGAGGUUGCUUGAAAAUAGUAAAAGAUGGGUACGCUUAUGUACAUAAAAGAACUAAUAAAGAUGGUUCUGAAUGCUGGAGGUGUACUAACAAAGUAAAGUGCAAUGGUAUCCUCAAACUACGCAGAAUUGGCGUUGAGUUGUUUAAGGUCCUCGGUGAGACUCUGCAUAAACAUGAGCCUAAUGACAGCUUAUAAAAUAAAUAAAUAUAUAGGGACAGAUCACACAGAUUGAGUUAGCACCAAAGUAAGUUCGACAUUUAAUGGACACUAACUCAACGAUAAUAUAUUCUAUAACAUAAAUAAACAUUCAAGACACAGGUCAAUCUGCAAAAGUUCAUUUUCUAUCUUGAUCUGACCGGGGAUCGAACGUGGGACCUCUUUGCAAAUUCUACUAGUCUAGCAGUCGUGAUAACCAUUAGGUCACGGAGAUCGUAAAAAUGUGUGUUACUGGAAGAAAUAUGACAUUUAGCUGCAUUAUAAGAGCGUUCUAGAGGUUACACGAUUGAGGUAAAUGACAUUUUCAUUAUUGAUUUUCCAAUUUGUAUUGAUUAUUGAUUUUGCAAUUGAAGUGUUUAAUAUAAAAAUAUUACAGAAUAAA